GAUGAACGCUGGCGGCGUGCCUAAUACAUGCCAGUCGAGCGAACAGACGAGGAGCUUGCUCCUUCGACGUUAGCAGCGGACGGGUGAGUAACACGUAGGUAACCUACCUAUAAGACUGGGAUAACUUCGGGAAACCGGAGCUAAUACCGGAUAAUAUUUCGAACCGCAUGGUUCGAUAGUGAAAGAUGGCUUUGCUAUCACUUAUAGAUGGACCUGCGCCGUAUUAGCUAGUUGGUAAGGUAACGGCUUACCAAGGCAACGAUACGUAGCCGACCUGAGAGGGUGAUCGGCCACACUGGAACUGAGACACGGUCCAGACUCCUACGGGAGGCAGCAGUAGGGAAUCUUCCGCAAUGGGCGAAAGCCUGACGGAGCAACGCCGCGUGAGUGAUGAAGGUCUUCGGAUCGUAAAACUCUGUUAUUAGGGAAGAACAAACGUGUAAGUAACUGUGCACGUCUUGACGGUACCUAAUCAGAAAGCCACGGCUAACUACGUG
RNAcentral lists this ribosomal RNA (497 nucleotides) under uncultured bacterium. RNAcentral's name for it is "partial 16S ribosomal RNA". It matches the Rfam family "Bacterial small subunit ribosomal RNA", at positions 28 to 507 of the family's 1533-position model. The record is from RNAcentral.